Long non-coding RNA from Silurus meridionalis, 930 nucleotides. RefSeq lists it as uncharacterized. Lineage: Eukaryota; Metazoa; Chordata; Actinopteri; Siluriformes; Siluridae. The transcript has 2 exons. The record is from RefSeq and is a predicted model, not a curated record.
AGGAGAUGCAGGAGGUUGCUUCUGGGUUGUGAAGCUUCAUAUUCAGAGCUCGCAGAUCGGAUUUCUGCUGAGCAUUCGGAUUAGAUGACAAACACCAAUCUGACGCAAGGACGCUCUCCGGAUCCAUCUGUAGAUGAGACUCUCUGCAUUUUACACUUUUCCCCCCAUUUAGACUGAAAUUAGAAUUGGAUUACGCCGCCUCAUCAGCUCUGCGAACCCACUGAGGCUUGGAUCUUUUUUUGUUGUUUUGAAGCGACACCUGAACUGAUUGUUCAGCAGGAAAGCCGUCUCUCUGAAGGCGAGGUGUUUGUAUGUUAGCAGCUGUGUUUGUUUCAGUCGCACCGACUGUGAGCUGUGAGACGGGUAAAAUUAGCCACGCGACUGGGACUCGGACACAAAUCAACUCCAGACUAUUUCUUCACUUUUCUACUGAUUCUACAUGACACUGUGUUUAGUUUAACGCUACUCUGACAUCACACUUCCUUCAUUUAGACCAGGCGCAUACUUCUUUUUUAUGCUUCUCCCAUUAGGGGGCGCCACAGCAGAUCAUACGUCUCCCUGUCCUCUACAUCUGCCUCUUUCAAACUACCUGCAUGACUUCCCUCACCACAUCUAUAAACCCCAGACCAAGCGCAUACACAGAUCACAGGUCAGUUUUUAGCUCGGCUAGCUUUUUAUAUAUGCACAAACAUUUUCCACUGAAAUGUUUUCACCUUAAUUUUAAAAAUUAAAGCUCUAUGAAAGAAUGCAACACACAAACAAAGACUUGGCACUGACCCAUGUGCAUUUUAUAGGUUUGUAACAGGAAAUGAGCAAAACCUACAAGGAAGAGUUGACAACUCACACAAGGGUGCCCUCUGGUGGCGUGGUGGGGAAUUGUCUGUAGUUGCUUCCUUUGUGUUAUGGUGAAAAUAAAAUAUUUAUUUAUUA